GAUGAAGAACGUAGCGAAAUGCGAUAAGUAAUGUGAAUUGCAGAAUUCAGUGAAUCAUCGAAUCUUUGAACGCACAUUGCGCCCCCUGGUAUUCCGGGGGGCAUGCCUGUUCGAGCGUCAUUUCACCACUCAAGCCUCGCUUGGUAUUGGGCAACGCGGUCCGCCGCGUGCCUCAAAUCGACCGGCUGGGUCUUCUGUCCCCUAAGCGUUGUGGAAACUAUUCGCUAAAGGGUGUUCGGGAGGCUACGCCGUAAAACAACCCCAUUACUAAGGUUGACCUCGGAUCAGGUAGGGAUACCCGCUGAACUUAAGCAUAUCAAUAAGCGGAGGA
RNAcentral lists this unclassified non-coding RNA (331 nucleotides) under soil metagenome. Its description in RNAcentral is "partial contains 5.8S ribosomal RNA, internal transcribed spacer 2, and large subunit ribosomal RNA". The stretch from base 1 to 120 matches the Rfam family "5.8S ribosomal RNA", at positions 35 to 154 of the family's 154-position model. The record is from RNAcentral.